ACGACGCCCAGCCGGGAGCCCAAAGCAAAGAGGGAUUCAGGAGCAGCCCAGCUACCGCUUGGUUCCCACAAAAUGGUCACCUUGGAACUCUUUAUGGAAGAGGAGAAAACACCACCACCACCACCACCACUGUUUCAUAACCCUGCACUGAAUGUGGACACAACAACCAACCACCCCCAAAAGGAAACUCUGGCAGGGUACAUGUAUCAAACCUAUGGCAUUGGUCAGGUAUUUUGGAUCAGUAAGUGAGGUUGUACUUUUGACUGGUAAGUGUACAUCUAAAUCCCUCGGAGGGGAUUUUCUUCUCCGAGGUCACUCCAACCUGAAUUGUUGGCCCAUGGGGACAUGUGUUGUCCCUAUUGGUUGUAUUGAUGUAGUCUCUUUGGGCCAGUGAAGUAAAGCUCCAUAGGGUCUUGUCCUUUUCCCACCUCUUCAUGGGAAGGUCCAUUUCACUGAUUGGAAGAGACAGUAAAACCCUUGUGUGGCCAUUCAUAUGAGUCACUAUUUAUGGAACAAGUGAUUGUGCUCCUUUGCACGGUCAGGAGACCACUGCCAUUUCACGAAUGUCCCUGGGCAGGCAGGGCCUCUAAAACUAGAAAUGCGAGAGGUUAUUUUACUGUUAAAUAGGUGGGGUUUGUAUUCACUGACUUCCUUUUCUUUUCAUCUUUCCUUGAUUGCCUAUCUGUGUUUGGUCAACAAUUGGUUUGAUAUUGACUUUACAGUUAGGUUAUGUUUAUCUUAUUGUUAACUAUCCAUGGUUAUCCACUCUGAUAGAAGCUUAUGCAAGUACAAAUAUUUCUUGUUGCACAUACUAGCAUUAUUGCUUCUAUUGUGAAGUUCACCCAGUCUUAACUUAGGAGUUGGUUGUCUAUUUUUGAUACUCAGAUCUUAAGAUCAUAUACCAGUGCCUGAGCCCUACUACAAAUGUUCAUUGCCGCAUCACUAACAGUGAUUCGCCUACAGUACGUGAAUCAUAUUUUUUGACCUUCAAGGACAGGCUUGAUACCCUCACAUCGGCAAUGCAGGGGUCUGACACUUGCAGCCCUUCUGUGGCCAUGUAGAUACGUCACGCCUGUGCCCCUUCCUGGGCCCUGUAGGGGCGAGCCACCUGUGCCCCUUCAUGGUCUAUGUAGGGGUGUGCCACCAUCACACAUGUAUGCCACACAUGGCCACUAUAGUGUUUGUACUAGCUGUGGUUUCCAGGACCCACCUGGGGUCUCCGGACAUAUGCCCAUGGAUAACAGGGAGCUUCUGUAGUCACGUUCCUCUGCAUUACAUCUCCCCACAAGACCCUUAUCUCCAGAUAAAUAUUACAAGAUCAGGAGCCACUUUUUGUGUGCUUUCUUGUUAGUGGAAACAUCUUGCCUUUGCUUAGCACAGCCACUUUGCCCUCUCCACCAUCUCCUGGAGGUUCCCUUACCCUUGCACUGCUCUUCACUCACUGCUUUUGGGUGUGCUGUCUGCCUCCUGUCAUAGUCCUGCACCAAUGGUAAUUUGUACCAUGAGCGGUCGCAGGAAACCGCUUGGAACUGGGACUCUGGGACUGGACUGCUCUUCCAGUAGAAGACAUACAAGUAGCUUCCUUUAUGGCAGAAUUGGAUACUGGUCAUUGGUGGUAAGAGGUGAUUUCACAUUUGCUCACUUUACCACUAGUGCUGAUGCGGAGUGAUGGAGGACAGCACGCUGGAGUAUUGCAGGUGGAAUUGUCACUGUGGCCAUGGGGGCAGUUACAGACCCUGUCCAGGGUCAGUUUUGGGUGUCUGGAGUAUACGCAGGAAAUAGGAGAGGUUGAAAGCAAGAGAAAAACACCAGAAAACAUAUGACUUCAUGAGGCUUGAGUCUUCCCUCUACCUCUAUAGUCCAAGUUCGUGGAUGGCACUGGAAUUACAUCCUUAGCAUGCGCAUCAUAACCUCCAGGUGAGGAUGAAAAGAGAAAUCCGCACCCCAGAAGACAGCUCUCACCAGAACCUGACCAACAUGCUCCUUGAUCUUGGACUCGUAGACUCCAGAACUUUGAGAA
Long non-coding RNA from Prionailurus viverrinus (fishing cat), 2020 nucleotides. RefSeq lists it as uncharacterized. The record is from RefSeq and is a predicted model, not a curated record. Lineage: Eukaryota; Metazoa; Chordata; Mammalia; Carnivora; Felidae. The transcript has 3 exons.